GUGGGGAUCUCAUCAGUGACCCUUGUGAGUUGGCCCCUCCUUCCCACCCAGGGGCUGUUUCACUGGCAGCUCUGGCCACACGCUCAGGAAUGUAACAAGCUCAAAAGGAAGAAAUUGAGAAGGUAGUGUUUUGAACACUUCCAAGCAUCUGACCUGACUGCCUCCCAGAUUCAUCGCCAGCAUUCGCAUGCUUGACUGCGCCCUGCCAAGUUUGAUGCACUGUCUCUACCAUGACACCCCGAGGAGGAACUUGGAUUUCACACCAG
Molecule: long non-coding RNA, 266 nt
Organism: Lemur catta (Ring-tailed lemur)
Lineage: Eukaryota; Metazoa; Chordata; Mammalia; Primates; Lemuridae
Exons: 3
Source: RefSeq, a predicted model, not a curated record